AUUGAACGCUGGCGGCAGGCCUAGCACAUGCAAGUCGAGCGGAUGAAGGGAGCUUGCUCCUGGAUUCAGCGGCGGACGGGUGAGUAAUGCCUAGGAAUCUGCCUGGUAGUGGGGGAUAACGUCCGGAAACGGGCGCUAAUACCGCAUACGUCCUGAGGGAGAAAGUGGGGGAUCUUCGGACCUCACGCUAUCAGAUGAGCCUAGGUCGGAUUAGCUAGUUGGUGGGGUAAAGGCCUACCAAGGCGACGAUCCGUAACUGGUCUGAGAGGAUGAUCAGUCACACUGGAACUGAGACACGGUCCAGACUCCUACGGGAGGCAGCAGUGGGGAAUAUUGGACAAUGGGCGAAAGCCUGAUCCAGCCGUGCCGCGUGUGUGAAGAAGGUCUUCGGAUUGUAAAGCACUUUAAGUUGGGAGGAAGGGCAGUAAGUUAAUACCUUGCUGUUUUGACGUUACCAACAGAAUAAGCACCGGCUAACUUCGUG
This 484-nucleotide ribosomal RNA is filed under the name uncultured bacterium. RNAcentral's name for it is "partial 16S ribosomal RNA". It matches the Rfam family "Bacterial small subunit ribosomal RNA", at positions 30 to 507 of the family's 1533-position model. The record is from RNAcentral.